RNAcentral lists this ribosomal RNA (650 nucleotides) under Bacillus sp. (in: firmicutes). Its description in RNAcentral is "bacterial SSU rRNA". It matches the Rfam family "Bacterial small subunit ribosomal RNA", at positions 113 to 748 of the family's 1533-position model. Lineage: Bacteria; Bacillati; Bacillota; Bacilli; Caryophanales; Bacillaceae. The record is from RNAcentral.
ACACGUGGGUAACCUGCCUGUAAGACUGGGAUAACUCCGGGAAACCGGGGUUAAUACCGGAUGGUUGUUUGAACCGCAUGGUUCAAACAUAAAAGGUGGUUUCGGCUACCACUUACAGAUGGACCCGCGGCGCAUUAGUUAGUUGGGGAGGUAACGGCUCACCAAGGCAACGAUGCGUAGCCGACCUGAAAGGGUGAUCGGCCACACUGGGACUGAAACACGGCCCAAACUCCUACGGGAGGCAGCAGUAGGGAAUCUUCCGCAAUGGACGAAAGUCUGACGGAGCAACGCCGCGUGAGUGAUGAAGGUUUUCGGAUCGUAAAGUUCUGUUGUUAGGGAAAAACAAGUGCCGUUCAAAUAGGGGGGCACCUUGACGGUACCUAACCAAAAAGCCACGGUUAACUACGUGCCAGCAGCCGCGGUAAUACGUAGGGGGCAAGCGUUGUCCGGAAUUAUUGGGCGUAAAGGGCUCGCAGGCGGUUUCUUAAGUCUGAUGUGAAAGCCCCCGGUUCAACCGGGGAGGGUCUUUGGAAACUGGGGAACUUGAGUGCAAAAGAGGAGAGUGGAAUUCCACGUGUAGCGGUGAAAUGCGUAGAGAUGUGGAGGAACACCAGUGGCGAAGGCGACUCUCUGGUCUGUAACUGACGCUG